RNAcentral lists this ribosomal RNA (314 nucleotides) under Grus japonensis (Red-crowned crane). Its description in RNAcentral is "partial 12S ribosomal RNA". It matches the Rfam family "Bacterial small subunit ribosomal RNA", at positions 868 to 1341 of the family's 1533-position model. The record is from RNAcentral. Lineage: Eukaryota; Metazoa; Chordata; Aves; Gruiformes; Gruidae.
UCCGCCUGAGAACUACGAGCACAAACGCUUAAAACUCUAAGGACUUGGCGGUGCCCCAAACCCACCUAGAGGAGCCUGUUCUAUAAUCGAUAACCCACGAUACACCCAACCACUCCUUGCCAGCGCAGCCUACAUACCGCCGUCGCCAGCUCACCUCCCCUGAGAGCCCAACAGUGAACACAACAGCCUUCACCCGCUAACAAGACAGGUCAAGGUAUAGCCCACGGAGUGGAAGAAAUGGGCUACAUUUUCUAAAAUAGAUAAACUACGGGAGGGGGUGUGAAAUCUCCCCCAGAAGGCGGAUUUAGCAGUAA